GAUGAAGAACGCAGCGAAAUGCGAUAAGUAAUGCGAAUUGCAGAAUUUCCGUGAGUCAUCGAAUCUUUGAACGCACAUUGCGCCCACUGGUAUUCCGGUGGGCAUGCCUGUUCGAGCGUCAUUAUCCUCCCUCAAACCCCGGGUUUGGUGUUGGACCCAAGUUGUGUGAACAACUGGUCUCAAAGACAAUGACGGCGUCCGUGGGACCCUCGGUGCAACGAGCUUUUAGGAGCACGCAUCGAGUUGCAAGGACCUUCCGGGCCGGUCUCCUUUACCAUUUUUCAAGGUUGACCUCGGAUCAGGUAGGAAUACCCGCUGAACUUAAGCAUAUCAAUAAGCGGAGGA
Molecule: unclassified non-coding RNA, 345 nt
Filed under: soil metagenome
Description: partial contains 5.8S ribosomal RNA, internal transcribed spacer 2, and large subunit ribosomal RNA
Rfam family: 5.8S ribosomal RNA (bases 1-121)
Source: RNAcentral